GCCUGGCACAAUGGAGGACUCAGUAAGCAUCGUUCCCUGGUUCCAGAGGUAAGGAAGUGUGUUUUGGAGCUCUGCAUAUCCAGUCACACUGUCAUAGGGAAAGGGGGCAGAUGUGACGUCCCCAAGAGAAGUUCUGUUGAGUGAUUGUGGGAAUCCAAACCCAGCCCAACCCCAAGCCCUAAACUGGAUUUGAAGCAUGGGAACAUCUCUCAGGGGACUGUGGGAGUGACAGGCCUUGUGGACGUUGGUCCUCAGAGGAGGGCAGCACUGGCACCUUGCUGUCCUGACCAGUGCCCAACCUAAUGGGGACAGCGGUUGAUUCUCCCAGCUGACGCUGAAGCUCUGACCAGAUUGGUCUCUAAGAAAACCUCUAACUCAGAGUUUCAGAGAUAGCCAAGGACCCAAGAGAAAUUCAGCUUCCAUGUGAUGUGUGUUCCAAGAUGGUGAACAUGGUUGGACAUCUUUGCCUCUUGACCUUGGGAGCAUCGAUAAGGCCUGAUGUUCACUACCCACGGACGGAGGAGAGAAUGAAAAAUGGAAAUAGAACAAUUGGCUUUCACUUUUUAGUGAGAAAAGAGAAUUACAAGGCACUCCUCUCAGGGGACACUUUACCCAUAAGUGUCCGGGGCCUGAUGAGGAGGGUGCCAGCCGCAUCUUGCAUCCUCAAACUGCAAAUCACUCACUAUGGACAGGUGGGGCAGCUGGAGAAACUGGUUGAUGCUCAUGAUUCACAUAUUCCAUCCAGAGCCUACAAGCUUGAAACAUGGUCUUCGUGGAGAAAGGGAUGACCCUUCCCUUUAGGAAUGAAGAUAGAGAGCUGGAGUCCAAGGGCCUUUCCAAGGAGUAACUCAGCAGAAGCAGUUCUUUGCACCUGUCACAUCCUGCACAUUAGGUGUGGUGUUAUGCAUGUGUAACCUCAUCUAUCUCUAGAGCAACAGCAGGAGGCAGGUGUUAGUGCCCCAUUAUCCAGAGGGAAGACUGAGGUUUGUGUGGGUAAGUAGUUGAUGGGCUCAAGGUCAACAGCUGGGAAGCAGCUAGACCAGCAUUUGGACCCAGAUCCAUCGACCACUUUCCACUUGGCCACACUGUCAGCAGCUGCAGGAAAAGUCUGCGACAGCACGUAUUGGGUAAGAUUUCCUCAACUUUGUAACCUCCCUGUGCUUUUUAUUUAGGUCUCUCCACUGUCUGUGUCCCCACUGCGAUUAGUUGAGAAUAAAAACACCUUCAAACAAGAGGAGCUCAUCUGCUUGUCCUUAGAGGCAACAAGAAGAGAAAUCUCUCAUGAUCAGUGGGGCUGGAGUGGGGAAAGGCCGAGCCCAGAAUCCAGCUCACAUUCACCAAACCUUGGCCAACUGUCUGGAAUUGCUCUGGGUCCUCAAAACCGCCUUCUGAACAGACUUAGCUGCAGUGUGGCCUGCUCCCAGAAUUCUUUCUCUUGACUUCUAUUUUCACCCAGAGUAUACGGACUCAGAAAAAUGAAGAGAGAGAAGUACAAAGACAAAAGAUCAGUAACCAAGCUAGAGGAACUAAUCCUGGAAUUAAAACUUGUUCCUUGGGAAUGCUCUUCUCCUGUACAUAAUAAUCUCAUUUGACUAAUGCAGCCCCAUUAGGCGUGUAAGUACAGUUUGAAAGCAGUAUUAGUGUCAGGAGAGACCAAGUUAGAACAGCCACUAAGCUGUCAAGGCUCUUUAAAAUAUGAUUCCAG
Equus asinus (donkey) is the source of this 1705-nucleotide long non-coding RNA. NCBI's taxonomy places the organism in Eukaryota, Metazoa, Chordata, Mammalia, Perissodactyla, Equidae. The record is from Ensembl.